CCCUUAGAUGUUCUGGGCCGCACGCGCGCUACACUGAUGCAUUCAACAAGCCUAGCCUUGACCGAGAGGUCCGGGUAAUCUUUGAAACUGCAUCGUGAUGGGGCUAGAUUAUUGCAAUUAUUAAUCUUCAACGAGGAAUGCCUAGUAAGCGUGAUUCAUCAAAUCGCGUUGAUUACGUCCCUGCCCUUUGUACACACCGCCCGUCGCUCCUACCGAUUGAAUGUGUUGGUGAGGAGCUCGGAUUGGCAGCAGUUGGUGGUUCGCCACCGGCUAUUGCGGAGAAGUCCUCCAAACCGCCCCAUUUAGAGGAAGGAGAAGUCGUAACA
This 326-nucleotide ribosomal RNA is filed under the name uncultured eukaryote. RNAcentral's name for it is "partial 18S ribosomal RNA". It matches the Rfam family "Eukaryotic small subunit ribosomal RNA", at positions 1470 to 1796 of the family's 1831-position model. The record is from RNAcentral.